AUGGCCAAUGCGCACAUCGCCGAAGGGGCCACCGGCACCCGCUUGCGUUACUCGUGCGCGAAGAAUUACAAGCGCCAAGCGGGCACCUCCAGCCUCGUUGUGUGCAAGUACAACGAAAUGUCGAAGAAGCCCGAAUGGACACGGCCGAAUAUAAACUGCAUCAGAGACCCCUCGCUGCCUCCAGAACCCGAAACAGCCACAGAAGACUCCGGGAGAGAAACAGAAGCUUCCACACCCAACAGUCCAGAGGCUGCAGGGGUGGACCCGUCAGUGACAUCCGCACAUCCGUACGGAAGCAGGACUGACCCUUCCCCGUCACCUCCGGGCACCGCUGGCGUGACCUCGAGGCCGACCGCGGCGACAGCAGGCUUUGCAGAAGAUGGCGAGGGGACUCCUCCUGGCGAGGCCACGGAAAGGGUAACCCCGUCCCACGGAAGCGCCACCCCAGUCUCACGAGCCAGGACUAGCAAGACCCUCACGGCAGGAAGUAGCCCGACCGUCGUCCCCUCCGAGGGAACCGAGGGAAAUACGACUCGGGCAUCCGACCCAGCCGGUCCGGAGAGCCGAAAAGAUUUCCUUUACUUCAGUAUUGGAUUCCCUGCUCUAGCAGUCGGAUUCAUCGUAAUAUGCUCCCUGUUGUGGUGCCUCUACAGAAGAAAACGAGGAACGGUUGUGGGUCCCCAUACCAAAGAAAGCAUCCCCAUGGCCCCUGUGACCUCCAGAGAAGAAGGCUCUUCGUUCAGCCCCCUGGACGAUCCAGAGCCCUCUGGGGAAGGGGCUCCCAUGUUACGGAUCCACCAUGCCGCUCCCACCAGUUUGGCGCAUCAUCAAGCCAGUGCAAACGGAGACGGGGACGGCAGUUCUUAG
This 867-nucleotide long non-coding RNA is filed under the name Pogona vitticeps (central bearded dragon). RNAcentral describes it as "lncRNA (ENSPVIG00000000326.1)". Lineage: Eukaryota; Metazoa; Chordata; Lepidosauria; Squamata; Agamidae. The record is from RNAcentral.